RNAcentral lists this long non-coding RNA (2103 nucleotides) under Homo sapiens (human). RNAcentral describes it as "non-protein coding lnc-MLLT1-2:1". The record is from RNAcentral. Lineage: Eukaryota; Metazoa; Chordata; Mammalia; Primates; Hominidae.
GUGCACUGUCUGGUCAAGAGCAGUGUCCAUGUGCGUUUCUGUGGCAGCAGUGCACGUGGGGUGGGUGGGGGGUGCGUACGGUGGGGCUUGUAGGUUAAGAUGUCUCUGCGGUGGUGUGGGGCUGGAGGCCGAGCCAGGCACGGCAGCUGGCCCUCUCCAGGCGCAUGGAGGAAUUCUCCCUUUGCCGUUCCAAGGAUGCCGCCGCCUCCUACCGGGGCUCCCGGGGGGGUCAGCCAACACUACAAAGGGCAGCGAGUCCUCAGGGCGCCCGGGAGCCACCAGUCUGCUCUCGGGCUCUACUCAGACUAGCGCCAACAGUCUCCGCGGACAGACUCGCAUCAGCCGCCCUGGGGCUCGGCCUCCUCCCAUAGGCUCCUCUUCCUCUCUUUCAUUCAAGUCUUCAAACUUUGAAAAAAAUAUGAGCUUUUGCCAAAUAAGACGGGAUAGUUUAUGGAGUUUUCUGAGGCGCAUUGAACUCUGGUCAGCCCCUCGAGCGUGGGCUCGGCCAUCAGCAGGCCCGGUGGGUUGGCCGGGCUGGCCCUCCCAGGCUGCCUUUCUCUCUGGUCGCGGCCUGGCCCGCCCCGGCCUCCACCGCCGCAAUUCAUGCUGGUGCCGCGCCCGCAGCCCCACUCCUGGUAUGCCUGAGAUUCUCCAGGGGCCAAGCCGGUCCUCCUUCCCGGCCCACUCUUCCAGGGCCAGGACGCUCCCGCGGAGCCAGCCCAUCGUGGCUGGGGGUCCCAGGGGCUGGAGGCCUGCCUGGUUAGCCUCUGUUUCCCAGACAUUGACUCGAGGCGCCUCCAGUCCUCUCAACCCCCUGACUUUCAAGUCCUUUCAAGUCCUUGUGCCCUGACCAAGUUAUGAGGAAAAGAGGGCUGAGGGCCUGGAGGUGGGCUCGCACCCCCUCGAACCCACCUAGAUGUCUCCUCCUCCCCAGCCUAUGAGUUCAGACUUGGGGGGCUCCAUCUGUCCCUCCCUGAGGUCCCUCAUCUUGUCCCUGCUCUGAUUCUGUCAGCAGAUCCUGAACACUCCUUGGUGGGGACCCAUGCCUCCAAGGCUGCCCCCAAUGCCAGCUGUCCUGGGGAAACUCCCCAGAACUCUCGGGGAAAGGCCCGAGAACCUUCGGAGGAAGCCUCCGGGACUCCUCGCCACCUGCUCUGUUUCUCUCCCGGCCCCACUGCCUUCAGGUAUCAGGAAGAGGGCAGGCCCCUGUGCCCCCUCUCCCCUUCCCAGGGCGGCCAACAAUACUCCACCAUGGGGCGCUUCCUUUCUUCUCUGGAAACUAAGACAUUGGACUGAAGGAACUGGCCUGAGGGGGGCUGACCGGGGGCCCGUGCUGCUGGGAGCUCUACGCACAAGAGGCCGCCGGGGUCACGGACAGGAACCUCAGCCCAGGGUGCUGGCCUUUCUCCUUCGCAGGAGUCCCCCAAAAUCCACACAGCGACUCGAGCAGCCUUCCACUCAGCCAGAGGAGGGUCGGGCUCCCCCGCCUGCUCUCGGUGGUGGCGUCUGGCCCUUCCUGCCGUUUCCAAGGCCUCCGGAAGCACCAACCCAGUUCUCAGUUACCUCCUCUGGCCGGAAGGCCUCACGUUGUCCUCCAGAGCUGCUCUGGGCCCAGGGCUGGCUCCGUGACCACCUGAUGGACGUGCUGGGCAGCAUGGGCUCCCAAGGCAGCAUCCCCAGCUGCUCUCCCACCCCACCCCAGCUGCCCGGCGGCUGGGCCCACGAGGGCUCUGGGGACACUUCCAUAGGAAAGGGGCCUGGCACUUUGUGAUUGCCACGUGUUUCCUGUUAAGCCGCCUGCCCCCAGUGCAAAUCUCUGUGUUUUGCUCUCUCCUGAACAAAAAUGUAAACCGACGCCGGAAAGCAAAUGGUAUCGAAUACCUUUCUUGCCCAUAAGGGUUUUUACAAAGAACGUGUCUCACUAGGAACUAGGACACUCAUCGGCCCGAGACCAACUCCUGGAUAAAAGGAAUAAGGAGAAUCGUGUUUGUAACGAGUUACAGGAUUGUUUCUUUCCUGGAUUUUAAACUUUUGUUAAAUUGUGAAAUUAUGGAGGAGUUUUAUAGAAAAAAAAAGUGAAAUAAAGUCAGAUGGGAAAGCAGA